This 308-nucleotide ribosomal RNA is filed under the name uncultured eukaryote. RNAcentral describes it as "partial 18S ribosomal RNA". It matches the Rfam family "Eukaryotic small subunit ribosomal RNA", at positions 1470 to 1796 of the family's 1831-position model. The record is from RNAcentral.
CCCUUAGACGUUCUGGGCCGCACGCGCGCUACACUGACGAAGGCAACGAGCUUUCCUUUACCGAAAGGUACGGGUAAUCUUUUGAAACUUCGUCGUGCUGGGGAUAGAUCCUUGCAAUUUUUGAUCUUAAACGAGGAAUUCCUAGUAAGCGCAAGUCAUCAACUUGCGUUGAUUACGUCCCUGCCCUUUGUACACACCGCCCGUCGCUACUACCGAUUGAAUGGUUUAGUGAGGCCUUCGGAUCCGCGACUCGUUUUGUGGGGAAGUUGGACAAACUCAGUCAUUUAGAGGAAGUAAAAGUCGUAACA